UACGGGGGGGGCAAGCGUUGUUCGGAAUUACUGGGCGUAAAGGGCUUGUAGGUGGCCAACUAAGUCAGACGUGAAAUCCCUCGGCUUAACCGGGGAACUGCGUCUGAUACUGGAUGGCUAGAGUUUGGGAGAGGGAUGCGGAAUUCCAGGUGUAGCGGUGAAAUGCGUAGAUAUCUGGAGGAACACCGGUGGCGAAGGCGGCAUCCUGGACCAAUACUGACACUGAAAAGCGAAAGCCAGGGGAGCAGACGGG
Molecule: ribosomal RNA, 253 nt
Filed under: uncultured bacterium
Lineage: Bacteria
Description: partial 16S ribosomal RNA
Rfam family: Bacterial small subunit ribosomal RNA
Source: RNAcentral